Molecule: long non-coding RNA, 3176 nt
Organism: Sitodiplosis mosellana (orange wheat blossom midge)
Lineage: Eukaryota; Metazoa; Arthropoda; Insecta; Diptera; Cecidomyiidae
Exons: 3
Source: RefSeq, a predicted model, not a curated record
CGCAUAAUGGUCUUUUCAUUUGGACACGCGGUUCAGUAGAGAAAAAAUAUAGGACGACAUAACUUGAAAGAAUUAUUUAUAUUUGAAAUAGUUUAGAAAAUUUGAAUUACGAAUUUUGUUGAAAUCAUUAGAACUUUGGUUAAUUAAAUUGUCGAUCGAUUCUGCUUGUGUGCAAAAUUUUUGUGUCCAGCUAAAUUCCACUUGAGCGCGAUAGAAAAAAAACACCGAAAUUGAUGACAAAGGAGACGACGACGACAAAAGCAAGCAAGAAUUUGAGGAUUAGCAAAGUAUCUUCACAAACAACUUCUGUUUUUGGUAUUUGAAACUGAGAGAGAUAAUCUGGUGUGAACUCGAACCGCUGAAGACGAUUACAAUCAGUACAGCAAAGAAAAAAGGCGAAAACGUGUGAAUACGGAAAAGUUUGAACUCGAAUUGUCCAAAAUGAGUCAACAAAGAAAUGGCCAAGCAUUGAAACGGUACUUCCAGGAAGAAGAAGGAGGAGAAGAAGGAUGUUCGAAGCAAUUGAAACCUAAUGAAUCGUCUUCAAACGUGGAUCGAAAAAAAUUAACUAAUAUUUCCCAAGAUUGUUUGCUAGAAAUCUUCAAAUAUUUAAACUUAGACGAGCUAUUGAUUAUCGCGAAUAGAAACCAAUACCUUAAAGAAGUGACUUAUCGAGUAUUUUCUCGUCAGUUUAGAAAAAUCAAAUUUGAAAUAUGCGUUACUCAAGCCAAUCGAUUGAUCCCAUUGCAAUUAAUAGACGAUUCCAUAAAAGUAUAUGACUUAAGAAGUGCCAUGUCUUUACUUCGUAACUAUUGCAGCCUCAUUGAGAUUUUGUCAAUUAGAAAUAGUUUGAUCAAUAUUGAAUUCUCCAUCAAGGCAAUGGAUUAUGCAAGAGAAUAUUGCAGUACAAUAGUCGAAUUAUCAUUCACGACUACAUCGAAAAAAGAAUUCAAACAGUUCGGAUCUAGUGACGCUACCAUAUCAUUUCCAGAAAUGAAAAAUCUGUCACUUUUUGGUGAAUGUACGAUGUAUCGGCCAUUCGAAACAGAAUUUCCCGCAUUAGAAAAAUUAAUUAUUGAUAAUACGAGGGUUGCUGCAUAAGUUUCUGGCCUAACCUAUUUCUAGUGUUUUCAGAUGCAAUCUGACGAUUCCAUCGGAAAUUUUGACAUUUUUUAGGCUAAAAAACACUAUAGCAGGGAUUGUUUUACAUUACUGGGUGUGUCUAAGCCUCCUUUCCAAGGGAUACCUGGAAAAAUCGUAAAUUUCAACAAUAAACUUCAUUUUUCGAUGUGGGAAAAAUUGAUUAUUCUGUUGUUAACCACCUAAAAAACUUCGUUUAUCCUCAAUUUAAUAAUUUCUGGCUAACGAAACCAUUAUUUUAUAUUUUGGGCCUGCAAAUAUUCGAUUGAAUGAAGGCAUGUCAAAAGGUGAAAAUUCAUGAAGUGACAGAUAGUUCCCAGUUUUUGGCCCAUUUUCUGAAUAUUUUCAUUCCAAAAAUGUCCGCUUUAUUCAGAAUUCAUGGCACUACAAUUCCAAAGUAUAAUAACAGUCAUGUAAAUCAUUUUUUCCCAGAACGAAGCAUUGCAAUUUGCGAAAAUCGUCUGUUUUUUCAGAAAUAAGGAAAAUUUUCUGUUAUUUUCAAACACGAUACUAUCACUAAAACCUUCUGGGAUGACAUGCUAUACUCAUAAAUGAUAAUUUUGUAAUCUCUAGUGACGAUUGAGGGUUUUUCAGCCAAUCAAAAUUGCAUUAUUGAGAGUUUGUAGGCCUAUUUUUGUCCAAAACUCUUUUUUUUGGUUGAAAACAUAUUUGGAGGUUUUGACAUGUGAAAGGCAUUUACGUCACUAAAACCACAUGUAAUAUUGACCUAAUGCAUGUCAUACUAAUGCCAAAGGAUGCCCCAAUCUCACUAUAAGUCGUAUGAGAAUAUUCCACCUUUAGGUUUCGCACAGCAUCAAUGUGUUCCGGCGUUACAGCUGAUAUUUUACGACUUUCCUGCGGACUCAUUUUUGAGUGAGCUUCGUCAACAUUUAAAAUCGUUAUAUCACCUCUAAAUACUUGGAAUGGACCGAGUUUUAUCACCCAAAGCGAAUUUGAGGCUAUCACGGCACUCUUGUUGAGUUAGUCCCUCUCAAAAAUCGGAAAAAAUCAUUGCACUAAAAUGUUUGCGGAAAAAUUCAAUUUUUUCAUCAAAUUGAAAUAUUCAAGCUCAUAAAACACCACGAUCCGUAGUGAAUCAACAGUUGACGUCUGAGGAAACUUAGCUUAAAAAAGGUCAAACUUUUUGACUGACCCAAAGUUUUGCUUCGGAAAACACUAGAACUAGGUUAGGCCAGAAACUUAAGCAGCAACCUACGUAAAAUGUUAGGCCCAGAAAACUUAGGGAACAUACUCGAAAAAAAUAAGCAAUUAAAAUGUGUUGAGAUCAAUAUAAACCAAUAUUUGCCUGUGAGACGUCUUCGGCAAGCUAGCAAACAUUUGCAAAAAAUGAACGAACUUACUUUUAAAAAUUAUGUAUCAACUGAUGUAAUUCGCUUUCAGUCCGUCUCAAAAUUGAAUAUGAUUUGGCAUGGUGGCCUCAAGUUAAUGCAAGUUCCAAACAUUAAACUAUCGUUUGGCUUUAUCGAAGAGCUAUUUAUGGACCUGAGAGAAUUUAAAAAACUUGAUGCCGUAGACACAUUCCUUCGGACACUCGAGUUAAAUAAACUAACUAUUCGUUCAAAAGUAGACAUCGAAAGAAAAUUCUUCUUGAAUUUAGCUCCAAAGUUAUCAGUUAAGGAUAUAUCAUUCACGGAUAUUCAACUCUCGUAUGAUCAAAUAAGUGAAUAUCUCGGUGAAAACUCUAAAACACAAACGUUCAUGUGCAAAUAUUUUGAUGUAAAUGAAUUUCAACCUGAUCAAUUAUUCGAAACUACAGACAAAACCUAUUGGAAAAUAGAAAUAAUAGAACAGCAUAUUGUACUCAAACGCUCAAGCUAAAAUAAUGUUUUUACGUGACGAAUUGAUUAAAGUAAUAGAAAUAGUUUGAUGGUAUCAUUGUUAUAAGAACAUUCUUUCAACAUUUUACUUUCCGAACGUUUCACAACAAUCGAAAUAAAAAAUCUUUUUAGAACGCGGUUAUAUUUGUAGAAGAGGCCCAAUGAUUUAUAAUAAAACCGAGAAAAUGAAAUGAAAAA